Molecule: ribosomal RNA, 194 nt
Filed under: uncultured bacterium
Lineage: Bacteria
Description: partial 16S ribosomal RNA
Rfam family: Bacterial small subunit ribosomal RNA
Source: RNAcentral
CCUACGGGAGGCAGCAGUGGGGAAUAUUGCACAAUGGGGGAAACCCUGAUGCAGCCAUGCCGCGUGUGUGAAGAAGGCCUUCGGGUUGUAAAGCACUUUCAGCGAGGAGGAAAGGUCAGUAGCUAAUGCCUGCUGGCUGUGACGUUACUCGCAGAAGAAGCACCGGCUAACUCCGUACCAGCAGCCGCGGUAAU